UACGGGGGGGGCAAGCGUUGUUCGGAAUUACUGGGCGUAAAGGGCGCGUAGGCGGCCCGCUAAGUCGAACGUGAAAUCCCUGGGCUCAACCCAGGAACUGCGUCCGAUACUGGCAGGCUUGAAUCCGGGAGAGGGAUGCGGAAUUCCAGGUGUAGCGGUGAAAUGCGUAGAGAUGUGGAGGAACACCGAUGGCGAAGGCAGCCUUCUGGGCCAACACUGACGCUCAUGCACGAAAGCGUGGGGAGCAAACAGG
RNAcentral lists this ribosomal RNA (253 nucleotides) under uncultured bacterium. RNAcentral describes it as "partial 16S ribosomal RNA". It matches the Rfam family "Bacterial small subunit ribosomal RNA", at positions 524 to 776 of the family's 1533-position model. The record is from RNAcentral.